CCUACGGGAGGCAGCAGUGAGGAAUAUUGGUCAAUGGACGAGAGUCUGAACCAGCCAAGUAGCGUGCAGGAUGACGGCCCUAUGGGUUGUAAACUGCUUUUAUGCGGGGAUAAAGUGAGGGACGUGUCCCUCAUUGCAGGUACCGCAUGAAUAAGGACCGGCUAAUUCCGUGCCAGCAGCCGCGGUAAUACGGAAGGUCCGGGCGUUAUCCGGAUUUAUUGGGUUUAAAGGGAGCGUAGGCCGUGGAUUAAGCGUGUUGUGAAAUGUAGACGCUCAACGUCUGACUUGCAGCGCGAACUGGUCCACUUGAGUGUGCACAACGCAGGCGGAAUUCGUCGUGUAGCGGUGAAAUGCUUAGAUAUGACGAAGAACCCCGAUUGCGAAGGCAGCUUGCGGGAGCACGACUGACGCUGAAGCUCGAAAGUGCGGGUAUCGAACAGGAUUAGAUACCCUAGUAGUC
Molecule: ribosomal RNA, 460 nt
Filed under: uncultured Prevotella sp.
Lineage: Bacteria; Pseudomonadati; Bacteroidota; Bacteroidia; Bacteroidales; Prevotellaceae
Description: bacterial SSU rRNA
Rfam family: Bacterial small subunit ribosomal RNA
Source: RNAcentral